RNAcentral lists this ribosomal RNA (466 nucleotides) under uncultured bacterium. Its description in RNAcentral is "bacterial SSU rRNA". It matches the Rfam family "Bacterial small subunit ribosomal RNA", at positions 28 to 524 of the family's 1533-position model. The record is from RNAcentral.
GACGAACGCUGGCGGCAGGCCUAACACAUGCAAGUCGAACGCCGUAGCAAUACGGAGUGGCAGACGGGUGAGUAACGCGUGGGAACAUACCCUCCGGUUCGGAAUAACUCAGGGAAACUUGAGCUAAUACCGGAUACGUCCAAGGUUUUAAUCGGCCUCGGAGAAAGAUUUAUCGCUGGAGGAUUGGCCCGCGUCUGAUUAGCUUGUUGGUGAGGUAAUGGCUCACCAAGGCGACGAUCAGUAGCUGGUCUGAGAGGAUGAUCAGCCACAUUGGGACUGAGACACGGCCCAAACUCCUACGGGAGGCAGCAGUGGGGAAUAUUGGACAAUGGGCGAAAAGCCUGAUCCAGCCAUGCCGCGUGAGUGAUGAAGGCCUUAGGGUUGUAAAGCUCUUUUACCCGGGAAGAUAAUGACGGUACCGGGAGAAUAAGCCCCGGGCUAACUUCGUGCCAGCAGCCGCGGUAAU